GGGGUUGACUGGAUUUGACAGCGGGAUGAAAUGGUAUGUAAGCACGCGGAGCAUGGUUUGUUGGCUCCUAAAUCUUAGCAGGCAACAAUUUAAUUGGCGAAAACAAUUACGCUCUCGCUGCCUAAUCGAAGUACAGUAGAUUACUGGCUUUAUCCCGUCAAUAGUUGAUGGGACGAGACAUCGCUCCAAGGAUGUGGUUCCGAAUCUGAGGGUUGAGCGGUGCAGGUAAAUCGGAAAUAGUUUGUUGAUGCCUCGCUCGGCAAAUGAAUUUUUAGAGGAUAAGGUUAUGGUUGGUGGUCUGGGUCUUGCCAUAACACGAAAACUAAAGGCCAGAAUAAGCGUGUAGAAAGCGUAUGGUUUCCCUGUUUGGACGAGGGUUCGACUCCCUCCAGCUCCACAU
This is a non-coding RNA of 400 nucleotides. It matches the Rfam family "transfer-messenger RNA". From Rfam's summary of the family: Bacterial tmRNA, also known as 10Sa RNA or SsrA, is named for its dual tRNA and mRNA-like properties. Its role is to liberate the mRNA from a stalled ribosome. To accomplish this part of the tmRNA is used as a reading frame that ends in a translation stop signal. The record is from Rfam.